AUUGAACGCUGGCGGCAGGCCUAACACAUGCAAGUCGAACGGUAGCACAGAGAGCUUGCUCUCGGGUGACGAGUGGCGGACGGGUGAGUAACGUCUGGGAAACUGCCCGAUGGAGGGGGAUAACUACUGGGAACGGUAGCUAAUACCGCAUAACGUCGCAAGACCAAAGUGGGGGACCUUCGGGCCUCACACCAUCGGAUGUGCCCAGAUGGGAUUAGCUAGUAGGUGGGGUAAUGGCUCACCUAGGCGACGAUCCCUAGCUGGUCUGAGAGGAUGACCAGCCACACUGGAACUGGGACACGGUCCAGACUCCUACGGGAGGCAGCAGUGGGGAAUAUUGCACAAUGGGCGCAAGCCUGAUGCAGCCAUGCCGCGUGUAUGAAGAAGGCCUUCGGGUUGUAAAGUACUUUCAGCGGGGAGGAAGGCGGUGGAGUUAAUAACUUCACCGAUUGACGUUACCCGCAGAAGAAGCACCGGCUAACUCCGUGCCAGCCGCCGCAGUAA
This 504-nucleotide ribosomal RNA is filed under the name uncultured bacterium. RNAcentral describes it as "partial 16S ribosomal RNA". It matches the Rfam family "Bacterial small subunit ribosomal RNA", at positions 29 to 523 of the family's 1533-position model. The record is from RNAcentral.